UUUCUUUGUGAUCUCGCGAGAGUUUGGCGGGAAUGUUGUGCAGGUUUUGAAAAGAGUUUACGUGGUUGAUGUAGAGAACAUUCUGUUAAUUUGAACUUGUUUAUAUGAUUUACAUUUGGUUGAGCUAUCCAAGUGUUUGUGAGAAGUAUUUAAGUUAACCAUCACGUGAGACAGGAUGUAUGUGAUGUGAAGUGAAGUGCUAUAGAUUCUAAUUUGUCAUUGGUUUAUUGUGGAAUAGGCUUAAGAUCCCUUAGAUCUUGCCUUGAUUAAAGUUAACUUCAACAGAGAAGAUAUAUUGUAUAUUCAUGAUAUUGACUGUAUAUGUAGAUUGGAAACAAUAAAUGAAUAACCACAUCUA
Ruditapes philippinarum (Manila clam) is the source of this 358-nucleotide long non-coding RNA. RefSeq lists it as uncharacterized. The transcript is spliced from 3 exons. The record is from RefSeq and is a predicted model, not a curated record. Lineage: Eukaryota; Metazoa; Mollusca; Bivalvia; Venerida; Veneridae.